GGGGAUGUAAAGGCUUCGACAUGGAGUGUUACGGCAAGAGCUGCGGGCCGGGAACGUCGAUGUACCCGUUAAACUAUCGGCAAACAUUUAAACGCAAACAAGAAAAAUCUGUUUGCUGUUCCUUCGCUGAAGAACACCGCCCGCGUGGCGGUUGCUGCUUAAGCAAAGGACGCCCUGCUGAGCUUCGGGCCACGGUCGUGAGGCAGGUCUUAAUAUAGUGGCUGCCUGGCUGGUUGACGCUGAUAAACUAGUCAGAAAGAUUUUCAGCUGGUCUGACGGCCCCUGUCUAUGGGGUAACCGGCAGACGAGACAAAUAACCAUAGACUACGUUCCGUAGACGCUUUUGUAGUGGGCUUCGUGGACGCGAGUUCGAUUCUCGCCAUCUCCAUUU
This 391-nucleotide transfer-messenger RNA is filed under the name Candidatus Melainabacteria bacterium HGW-Melainabacteria-1. It matches the Rfam family "transfer-messenger RNA". From Rfam's summary of the family: Bacterial tmRNA, also known as 10Sa RNA or SsrA, is named for its dual tRNA and mRNA-like properties. The record is from RNAcentral. Lineage: Bacteria; Bacillati; Candidatus Melainabacteria.